CUCGCUGCUCCGUCUUCCUAACUACAUCCGCUUGCCUCCUCUCUGCCUCAAUUCGCUAAAUCUUGUCGCCGGAAUUUUGCUCGGCCACGAUCCGAUCACUGUCGCCGGAAGCCGUCCUCCGGCCACCCCCUCGCCGUGAAACUGCGCCGGCGGAUCUUGGCCAGGAUCUGGUCGGCAUCGCGGAUGCGGUAUUAAUUGCAACAGAUUUGUGGAUGCUAUGAUGGCCGUGCGCCGUUCAGCUGUUGACUUGUAAGAACACCGCAGCCACCUCUUCUGAUUUGAGUGGUUCAUACAGGUAUCGUGACUUCCUCAAAAAUUUUAUGCAAAUAUGAAAAUAUUUAUGUCAUGCUUAAAGAAUAUUUGAUGAUGAAUCAAGUCACGAUAAAAUAAAUAAUAAUUACAUAAAUUUUUUGAAUAAGACGAAUGGUCAAACGUUGGAUAAAAAGUUAACGGCGUCAUACAUUAAAAUAUGGAGGGAGUAUAUUGAGGAGCCCAACUUUUGUAUAUUUGCCAUUGUCUGUAUUUUUCACAUGUGGGAGACUGGUGAGUAUGACAGUUUUCCUGGCAUGUCAUGUAAUAAUCGGAAUUCGGAAGAUUUGUUAUUAGGAGAGGGAUGCUCAAUCUCCUUUCUAAUAUUAGGCUUUUACCGUUGUUUGUGUGCAAUCUUCAGCCUUUUUCAGACUAGUUAUAACCAUACCAUUUUGUAUAUCAAAAUUUAUGACUAAAUUGCACUAAAUAUUCGUGAUUUAGUGCAUUGUGAUGCUGUGACUGAAUCUGAAAAUUUGGCAGCGAGAAUGAAUAUCAAGUAAUGUUGUGCAUAUCCCCGCAGCCUGGACAUGAUCCAACUAUCACAGUGAGCUCGGCCCAACUAAACUUGGGCUGACUUGGGCAGCUAUCCAUAUUUUCAUGGGUUGACUUGGGCUUACAAAUUUCUCCCAAAACGAUGCCCAAAGCUUUAAUGGGCCAUAAAGUGGCGAUCCAGUUGAGCACGAAUAAAUCGCGUGGUUGAGGUUCGGAGUUUAAUUCGCCAACCCCUGUCUAUGCAAAACUUUUCCAUUGUUUGUUUCAAAAAAAAAAAAAACAUUUCCAUUGUUUGGAGGCAAUAAGAAGAGCUCCAUGAUACAAAUGAUUUCAUCUGAGCACGUAAGGUUGCUUCUACAUAAGGUUUUGUUCCCAUCACACUAUCUCACGAAAGCAAAUUCAAGCUGAUAUAAAACUUCAUUUGCUGAAAACAUCUGAAAAAUGUAAGCGUGGUACUGCAGGUCUGCACCUGCCAUCGGCCAUAUUCGAAUGAACGCAUUGCAGUUGUAAUCCUCGGCGAUGUUGUUGUAUGCAUGAUCUGCCGUGGUGAUAUUAAUGGUUUCUUCUACCUUAUCUAUGAUGUUCAGCACAGCAGCAGUCAACAGUUGAUGACGGAGAUGAUGAAGCCUCCCCUAGCCGUCGCCACCCACUAGAGCUCAGCUAUCUCGGGGCCUUACAGGAGAGAGAGAAAACUGUGGUGGCGGCCGUGUUUUUUUUUUACCUUUUCCACAUGACUAAUAUGAGGGCCCUAUGGUUUUUCUGAUUUCUUCCUAGAAUAUAUAAUUAUCACGUAAACGUCACGUCAGUAUGUGUGUGGACCGAGUCAAAAUGAUAAGUUAAACAAAACCGCUCAAAAAGACCACCGAGAGAGAGUUGAUUUGUACUGAUUUUGAUAAUUAGGGAAUGCUUUUAUACUCAGUUUUGUAAUUGAGGGAUACUAAUCGAUCACAGCAUAUAAGUCGAGGGAUGCAAACACACUUAUGCCCAUCGUUGUGGUCAUAUAUAUUGCGCUCUCUUGAUACUUAAUAAACACGUUAGUUUCUUAAUUAUUUCGUUGGCAACUUUUUGUGACAAGUCGACAAACAUGAUUGUAACAUCUAAACGUCUUGCGGUGAUAUAGAGUCACCAAUCACCUCGAUUUAGCCAAACUUUAGCAGUUUUCCCCUAUUUCAUCCCUAGGUGCUAAAUUUAGGUGUAAAUACAUUUGUCAUGAAUUAUAAAACCCACUAAGAACAUAAAUGCUCUUGGAACUUGAAAGAAAGAAUACCACUUGGCUCUUUUUUUCGCCCCCAUGUAGUUAAGCUGGCAAUUAAUCGUCUUUUUUGUUCGUACUUCAUUUGAAAUAAUGUGUAGGAUCAACAAAACACACAUACAUAAGAUAAAUUCAUUUAUCCAGACAGUAAUUGACAACAUGACGCUGAUACACACACCGAGACUGAAUCGACAAACGCAACCUGCAGGUGCUAGGCAUGCACCGUGAAUUAUUGUCUGCAUAAUAUUUGGCUCUGGUCGAUCGAUCGAUGGCCGGGCGAUGAGAUAUGCUAUAUUUAUAUGGGGCAACUGAAUGAACAAUCUAGCCAGCUCUGUCGUCAAUAAGCCACGCUUACCUAUCAAAGCACGGCGAGCGCGCUGACGGCGACGACGAGCGAGGCGACAGAGGCGUAGACGAAGAACCAGUUGCCGGCGGCGCCGGCACGGCGGGGGUCGUCGGAGACCCAGACGAAAGCGAUAACCUGGGCCACGCCGGCGAGGAAGGUCACCACUGCAAGUGCAAGUGCAAGGUAGGAGUAAUAGGCAGCGCCGUUAUUACCCAAGUCAGCUUGCAGCGGCGUGGUGGUGGUAGCCAAGGUGAUUGCCGCGGAAAUGGUGGCUAAGCCGAGCACCCACAGCGCCGCGUCCACGUUGGCCUCCGCUUCGUCCCGCCGAGUAACAGCCACCACCAUAUCUUGAUUAAUUUCGAAGACUAAUUUGAGAUCGAAGCUAGAAUUAAGGCCCAAAGAAAUAAAUACUAGAGUUUGCUUCUAUCAAAUUUGCUAGAGUUUCCCCCUUCUUCAAGUAUUGCAUCGAUCUUCCUCGAAGAGAUAUGUAUAUAUAUAAUCACGUAUUACUACUAGCUGCCAUGAGUUUUCUGUGGGUCGUCGUUGCACAAAAUCACGGUGCGUUUGACUGACUCGGUAUCGGGGUGUACCCGGGCUCUACUCGACUCAUCUGACCGACACGGCGGGGCCCACCAGACGUGGGCCCGCUUGUCAUUCGGAUGGUGCAUAACAUACACCGCAGCGACACCGGCGGUUGGGACAUGAAGACAGCUGCGUAUAGGCGUCGUGAGUGGUGUUUCUGUGGACGGGGAGGGGUGGAGGUUUACUGUACAGCUAGCAUCCGCUAAGGGCAGGUACGCGGCGAAACGCAGCCUGCAGAUAUUUUAUGUACUUCGUUGGGCAGACAGGAUCGAGUAGGACCGUAUGCAGUGACGCAGCCAAAAAGAACCGCCUUCGGCCGCGUUCAGACUGCUCAUCUCAUAUGUAUAGUUGGACCGGAACGGAGGCUAUGUUUAGAUUCCAAUUUUUUUCUUUAAACUUUUAACUUUUCUGUCAUAUCGAACUUUUCUACAUACAUAAAUUUUCAACUUUUCCGUUACAUCGUUCCAAUUUUAGCGUGGAACUAAACACAGCCGGAGUGUCGGAGUCACCAAUUAACCACGUGAAGCCCAUAAUAAUUUGGCCACGUUAGGGAUCGCAAUAUACAUGUUAGGGUGAAUCAGGGCUGCGGUCCAAUAUCGCGUGAACAGUCGAGGGUUCCAUUUUCCCCAAAUUCUAGUGGCACGCAGGCUAUAUCGUAAAUUGUAAUGGUAUUUAUCUAAAAUGAUUAACCCAGACAAAAACAUUUAGUUGGGCUAGAAUGGAUCUAGUUGCAAACUACGUGGACCCCAUAAGGAAUAAGUUCACUUGAGGUCCAUUAACUUUACACUGAAUUUAAUUUUUAUCCUUGAACCGAAAAACCAGAUAUAACAGGUCCCUAACUUACAAAACCAGUGCAAACGAGUUUCCUCGGCAGUAUUGUCCUCGAUUUUAGCUGACGCGGCGCCUACGUGGCUCUUUUGACUAGGUCUUCGUUCCACAUGACGCUAAUGUGGCAGUAUGACCUAAAUAAAAAAAUAAAAAGUGGGCCCACAUGUUAGUUACAUCAUAAGAUUAAAAAAUGGUGGGACCCACAUGUCAAUAAUACAACGUUAUCUUCCACCUCCCCCACACUCUCCCCUCUGUUCCCCGAGAGGGAGAAGAAGAGGAGUGCCUCGAUCGCAUCCCCACCCUAUUAGCUAGGUUUCUGUUCCGCCUCUGCCUUUGCCUCUACUUCUCCUCCUCCUCACCGUCGCCGCCGCAGAAUCGAUGGAGUGGCAGGCGCAGCUGACAAGGAGAAGGACAACAGCCGGCAAUCGACAGGGAGCAGCGCGACUGGCGGUAGGCAGGAGCUAUGUGACGGCUGUGACGUCCGAGCUCAACCGCCGCUGGGAGGUCUAGGAGCCUCUGCUCCCACAUCGCCGCUGCGGGCCUCCUCCGUUUUUGGACUUGGACUUGGAAGAGCUCGUCGGCCUCUCAGCCCUCCUCGCUGCCUCCUCGUCCCCCUUGCCGGCCUCCCAACCUCCUCCCUCUCUGUGCGUGCUUGCCGGCUUCCCUGCCGCCUCCUCUCAGCGCGCUCUCACUGGCAUCCUCAUCCCCCAGCCAGUCUGCGCCAUUGCUCCCUCUCUGCGAGUGCUGAGAAGAUAGAGAGGGUGAGCUGGAGAAAGUGGGAUCCACUGACAUGUGGGUCCCACUAUUUAUUUUAUCCUUUUGUUUGACUGACAUGUGGGUCCCAUAUAUUUUGGUUUAAUUUUUAAAAUUUUACUCCUAGUGCCACGUGGGUGCCACGUCAGCCAAAACCGAUGACAAUAUAAUACUGUUAAGGGACCUUGUUCGCACUGGUUUUGUACGUUAGGGGGGCCAUUGUAUCUGGUUUUUGGGCUCAAGGAUGAAAAUCGAAUUCGGUAUAAAGUUAAGGGGCCUCAAUUGAACUUAUUGCACCCCAUAAUAAUUGCCGUUAGGGAUCGCAACACAGGUUCGGGCCAGCAGAGGGUGAACCAUCGCGUGGGCCGCAGCCCAAUAUAUAUACAGGUCGUGUACUCACUGGGGGUGGUUUUCAUGGGUUUGUAUUUCUGUACAUUAGAAGAGUUGUUACGAGUGGCAUGGGCAAAUUCCAUUGUAAGGUGUUUAUAGUUCCUUGCACGUGCACGAUAUCUAGUAGUUAUAAAUUACUAAUUUCUAUGCCAACAUUUAUAUUAAACCGAGUUCACAAAUUUCUGUUGGUUGCGCUGAAAAAUGUACUGGUUGCAUUGCAAAACUGCCGAUGUGUAGCAAAACAUCCAGGAGUUGAUGCUUUAUGCUGCCGUGAUCGAUUCUGAAAGCUUGGCAGCAAGAGAUAGGGUAAAUGUUGUGCGUAUUUUUUCCUGCAGCUGUGUACUAGUAGGCUCUUAAGAGUUAAGUUCGGGGCUAAUCUCUAAUAUCGAAUUCUAUGCGGAUUCCCGUGCAAAUAGCACCUCCACGUGGCGCGGCCAGAUUCACGGAUUCGCUCCCACGCACAGCCGUCCGAUUGCAUUUCAACGGUGAGAGAUCGUUGUGGUGGAGCCUGUUGUAAUAUACGAGAAUCGAGGGGUUUUCUUACAAAAGCACUCAAUCCCCCCAUCAUCCGUCUCCUCUCCAGCGUCACCGCCGCCUGAUUCAGCACAUCCGCCGCGUCACCGCCGCUGACCUUCGCCCUGACCUCCUCCCCGCUGCACCGAAGCCUCUCUAUCCCCUGCGCCUCCACAUGUCGCGGCUACGCGGGCAUCUCGUUGGAUCUAUCAUCGGCGGCGAGGAGGCGUGGCGAUGGUGCCGAGGUUCAUCGGCCGGUGGAGGAACAUCGUCGACUUGAGGACCGUGCCCAGGUUCCGCAUGGUCCCCAACUACUGCCACCCCGUGGGAGCCGCCGAGGGGGGCAACAACUAUGGCUUUCAGAUGAUAGUUUGAUCAUGCACACAAUGCGUUCGACGAAAUGUCCAUGGGCAUUCAUGGGUGUGGCUGGCGCCCUGAUGAUGCUCAAUCCUACCUUCCUCGUUGGAUUACUUUGGUGUUGGUCGAAGCAUUGGCCGACCAAGGAAUGUGCUGCCAGGAGUUACAAUGGUGGACUCACGUCUUAGAGGGCAGUUCCCUUCUGACUCAUAUGGUGACAUACCGUGGCGUGCCGUGAAAACCUGAGAUUGGCAAAUGGCUUACUAAGUGUGAUGCCGGCGUGUCUUUGUCACUGACCAAUUCGGAUUGCUUGAGCUUUCCCUGGAUUAAUUUGGUUGUUCUUCUGAAACGGUUUAUAGGUGCAAAGGGGUGCGAGCAAGACUACAAUGGACAAGGUGUGUGCAACUAUGAGCUGGGAUAAUGGAGAUGCUUUCAUGGAUAUGUUGGUAAGUACUACUUUGUCAGCUCAAUUAAUGUGUUAAUCUUGUUCACACUUGAUUAAUGAAAUUGCGAUUUCACAUGGAAUUUAACAAGGUUGGGUUUUAAUCACACUCCAUUUUUUAGCACCAUCCAAAAAAUCUUUAAGAUUGUUUUAGUAAUUUAUCUACUCCGUACAUAAUAUCAAGAUAAAUAGGCAUAGUUUAUGAACCUUUGAAUUCUGCACCUGUUCCAUACUAAGAAGCAAAUAAGAAAGAAACAAAUAAAUACUCCAGUUGGUUAGUGUGUUUGCUCAUAUAUGCCAUUCUUAAGAAAAACAUCAGUUUAUAUAUUUAUUUAUGUCCUAUUUAGUUUGCUGUCUAUCAACUCUUCAAAAAUUAUGGAUAAACUGUGCUACUUCAAUUCUUUGCUUUUGAUCAAAUGACAGCCCUUGCUCUUUCCAACAACUCUAUUGACAAAGAUGUUAAACAUAUUUUGCCCAACACUACAACUUUUGCUCCUUAGUUCUGGAAAUGAUAUUGUAUACUCUAUAAACCAAGCUAAUUCUUCAUUUGACUUAUGGAUAUACCAUCAUAGAAAUAGUAUAAGGAGACAGUUGCAUAUUAUUACUACACUUAUUUUUUGAAUAUAUAUUUCAUCAUUGUACAUAUAUAUAUUUAGACAGCUCAAUUAUAUAUCUUUCUGACAAUUGCUAACACAAUAUUUAUUAUAACAAAGUUUGCUUGGAAAUAACAUAAUAAAGGAUAUAAUGAGGCAAUAAGAACUGUGCGUGGAGGGCCGGAAGAUGAUGUCUGUCAUGGCCGGCAAGAUGGACGAGCUCUGGAUAGGGCGUAUGGAGUGGUGCGUGCUGGAAUGUAACAAGAACGCCAUCAACUUCUACGAGGGAAUGGGCGAGCCACGCAGGUGUGCUCCCGUAAUGGCACAUAUACAGACUCACUGGCGCUGCACACUGGAAAGUACAAUGGGACUAAGAGAAGGGCAAUGGGGCGAAAUAGAUCGGUGGUUGAUUCUUAGUUGUCCAGUCUCAAGUAAUAAAGAAACCGGAGAUGUGUGAUUUAGGGUAUUGGAUAAGUUCGUGAUGUCUUAGCUUGAUGUUCUUUCAAAUGUAGUACACAAUCUUUGCAGAAGGUUAAGGGAAAAUAAACAAAUUCUUAAAUUAUAGGAAAAGGCAAAAAAAGAUAAUUCAGGAGAGUCACAAGCCCCAUUGCAUAACAAGCCCAAAACUGAAUGUUGGAGACACUCUAGAUCAAAACGUUAGCAAGCGGAAAUGGUAUACUGUUAUACCUAAUUUUAUAAAAUUAUUUUAUCUCUAACCUUUUUACAUUUCCUUUUUACCUUGUUGCAAUUACUGACAAUCACCCAAUUACUGGACUUUGCAGAUGACAUCGAAAAAAUCCUAGGAAACACUAACAAGCAUCCAUUCAGGACAAUACAUUUUUUUUCAUGCUAGCAAUGGUGUUGUUUUUUUCUUGCACAAUUUUCAUCUCAAGUCCCAACGACUAUUUAUUUAAUUCGUUAUUAAGGAAAAAAUUGAUGGAUGCUUUAUCUAGACCUCUAUGUACACUAAUAUCAAACAAAUCUAAGCUAUAGAUAAAUUAGAAUUAGAUUGGCCUAAUAUCAAUUGGGCGUGGCAAAGACGCGCCAUUAUUUCUAGUACUCAUGUUAACCUGUGCAAAGCUGACAACCAUUAUGGUUGGGAAUAAGUUCACUUUAGGUCCCUAAAUUUGUACCUAGUCUGAUUUUCAUCCUCAGUAUAGAAAAUCGGAUACAACGCAUCCCUCAACUUACAAAACCGUGCAGAAAAGGUCCCUCAGCAGUAUUAUGCCCGGUUUUAAACGAUGUGGCGCCUACGUGGCUCCCUUUGACUAGGUCCUCGUCCCACGUGGCAUUGACGUGGCGCUCAUGUGGCAAUUGGAUCCCGGGAAAAUAAUAAAAAACCGUGGGACCCACAUGUCAGCCACAUAAAAACAAUAAGAAAAGGUGGGGCCCAUGUGGUCCCACAUGUCAGCCCCCUCUCCUCUCUAUCCCCCCCCACUCUCUCGGUCUCGUACAGAACGGCGAGCGGUGGUGCAGAGGGGAGCGGUGGGCGGACGACGGCAGGCGACGGACGAGGAAGGAGGCGGCGGGUGGCCAGGCGAGGAGGGAGGCGGCGCGGCGGCCGGAAGAGGAAGGAGGCGACACGCGGCGGCCGGGCAAGGAGGGGCGGUGCGCGGCGGCUGGGCAUCGCGGGCGGAGCGGCCGACGGCGUGGAGCUGCCGCGCUCGCUAGAAAAGGGAUGGCAGGCUCCGGUUCCUGGUGCGGAGCCCGCAAUCGUGCUCAUCUUCAACGCCUCCGCUCGUCUGCCGUCAGCGUCCUCUCCGUCUUCGCCUUCGAUGUCGAGGGCGUAGAUGUCCGCCUUCGACGGUUGUCAUCGUUGCCGUCAGGAGGAGGAAGAGGCAGAGGAAAAGGUCGCCGUCAGCGGUUGUCGUCGUUGCCGCGAUGUCCAGCCACCGCGUGCCGUCCCUCCUCGCCCGGCCGCCGCGCGCCGCCUCCCUCCUCGCCCGGCUGCCACGAGCUGCCCCUCCUCGGGGCGGAGCUAGCACAAAAUGAAGGGGGGUUCCACUUGUUUGCUUUACUCUAGUUUGAAUCAAAUUUAGCUUAAUACGAGUGCCUAACUUUGAACUGACAGAGUAUAUAUAUGGUGAAAAUAGACAAACUAUAGCUAAAAUUUUGUUUGAACCGGGUUCCUGGGCACCCCCCUAGCUAUACAUAGCUCCGCCCCCUGCCUCCUCGCUCGGCCUUCGCCCACUGCUCCCCUCUACGCCGCCGCUCGCCGCUCUGUACGAGACUGGGAGAGAGAGAGAGGGGGGGGAUAGAGAGGAGAGGGGGCUGACAUGUGGGACCACAUGGGCCCCACCUUUUCUUAUUGUUUUUGUGUGGCUGACAUGUGGGUCCCAUGGUUUACUAUUAUUUUUCUGGGAUUCAAUUGCCACAUAAGCACCACGUCAAUGCCACGUGGGACGAGGACAUAGUCAAAGGGAGCCACGUAGGCGCCACGUCAUCCAAAACCGGGCAUAGUACUGCCGAGGGACCUUUUCUGUACGGUUUUGUAAGUUGAGGAAUGCGUUGUAUUCGGUUUUUUAGACUGAGUAUGAAAAUUAGACUGGGGGACAAAUUGAGGGACCCAAAGUGAUUCCUUAUGGUUGUGAUAGGCUGACAGAAAUGACGCUGUGGGGAAGGCCGGAGAAACCCACAACUUGAAGCCCAGCAUUGGGCCCUGGACACGGCCAUACAGUCCACGCAGGCCCAUCGAAAAUUCUAGUUUCAAGUCAGUCGCAACCAUUGGUUGCGAUCCAAUUUUAUGUGGGCUGCGACGUCUCCCGGAUGCCUGGCCCAAGCGAGCGCGGAAUCAUUUGGGUAGCUUUGUGCAGUUCUUUUUCUUCCGGUGAUCUGUUUGCGUCUUGAUGCGAUAUUCUCCACAAUCUCCACUACUCAGUAUAAGCUAGUUUGCUCUAUAUUUUGAAUUUUCCAUGUUUCAGCAUUUCAAAUGUGCAAUAGAAUAAUUAAAAAUGUUUCAUCGAAUGGAAGCUGUUGCCUGUGAAAUUGUCAUAUUGUGCUUCAUGAUUAUGGUUUUUCUGCAAUAUUUUUUUUCCGGAUAUGCCUUAUACGUUUGCAUGGGAGGAGAAAAUAUGAUAGGUAGGCCUACCAAUUUUUAAAAUAUAAUUGUUGAAUGUUGUGCGCAAGUUAUGUAGGACCAAAACCACUUUGGAUUGAGAGGGGGUGGAGGCUUAUUUGGUUUGAGCAGUUGGGUGUGUCAAUGUGUCUUGUAUUCAAGUUCAUGGCUUAAUUAGGUCGAUCGCAGUAGUUUAGGGGUUAAUUCAGGCUUUUCUCUUAUAAUAAAAUAAUAUGUUGGGUGUUCAGUAGUUAAUUGUUAUGUUUUUGUGGUUCGCUUAAUCUCCAUAAGAAAGUAUUAGAGGGAUUAAUUCCACAUCAUAAUAGCAGUUGGGUGAAGGAUUGAACAAACAAGACCAAUUCUUGGAAGGAAACAAUACCACAGGCAAUCUUAUUGGUCAAGAAAGAAAGAGAUAAUUAUCGGUAUAAAAACUAAUUUGAAUCCUAUUUAAAGAUACGCCCUCGAGCUCUACCAAAGUCAAAAAUAAAAGGAGGAGAGAAAGAGAGAGCGUGUGUUAAUUUAUUCCCGUCUUCACGUACAAUCUCUCAGCUGAUCGGUCGAUCAGAAGAAAAAGGAGGCCGGCAGAAAAGCCCCCGGCCGGGGAUGACGUCACCAACGUGUCAUCCUACCGGUGGUGGACUGUGGAGUGUGGACGAAACGAUUUGAGAGAACCGAAGUGGAGUAAAAUACUAUGUGGGCCAUGUAUUUAUGGGAAAUUCGCGGUCAGAAAAGCCGGGGAAAUGGCGACCCCAACGUGUGCCCCGAACGAAAAAGGAAAAACACGGGACGGGUCGACGUGUGCCCGAAGGCCGAACGUAUAAAAAAAGCCGGUGUUGAAUCAAACGGCAGAAUUAUGCGAGUUCGCAGAAGCUUCCUUGUUUAAAGACAUGAUCGUCAUUUGGGCUUUUCGGUUAAGGCCAUGUUUACUUCCAAAAACUUUUUCCCAAAAACAUCAUUUUAAAUCUUUAGACACAUAUAUGGAGUAUUAAAUAUAGAUAAAUUAAAAAACUAAUUACACAGUUAAGAGAAAAAUCAUAAGAUGAAUCUUUUGAGCCUAAUUAGUCCAUGAUUAGCCAUAAGUGCUACAGUAAUCCACAUGUGCUAGUGACGGAUUAAUUAAACUCAAAAGAUGCGUUUUGCGGUUUACUUAUGAAAUUAGUUUUUUCAUUCGUGUCAAAACCCCUUCCGACAUCCGGUCAAACGUCCGACUUGACACCCAAAAAUUUUCUUUUCGCGAACUAAACAGACCCUAAGAGCAAGUUUAGGGGGUGUUUGGGAGAGAAGGGCUAAACCCCUUAAUAGUAUACUCCAAAUCUUAUAUAACCAAUCUAUCGCGUUCAAACUUGCAGUCGAAUGGCUGACCUGUACAUGAAGCACAGUCCAGUGACAGACAGACUACCGAAACAGCCCAUAAUUAGUUAUCCUACGUGCGGCAGAGUACUAAGAGUAUCUGGAAUGACCGAAUGACAAGUGGGCCCAGAACAGAAAGGUCCCGCCGUGUCAGUGGGAGACUGGGAGGCCCAUGCCCAUGUGCGACUUUCGUCUGACUUUCUUCUGACCUUUUUUUUAAGUGUGUGCACGCUCGCGUCCUCAAGCAAAAUUUUCUACUGACAUUUCUUGUUUGUGUUUGCGUUGUCAUCUAUAUAUAUUUCUUCCUCCGCCUAUCUUCUGAGCAUAUGUUUUGCACCUCCAGCUCCAGCAACCAAGCCACCCCAACUCCGACGGUCCCUCCCACAGGUCUCUCUCUCUCCCCCUCUUCUGUAGUUCACGAGGAGAAGAUCGGGCAGCCACGAAUCGGUCGAGAGAUUUAAUGGCGGCGGCAAAGCUACUGUUGGGUGAUGCUCGCCGCGAACCGGAGGCUAAGAUCGCCUCCGCUCUGGGCGCGCUCGGCGUCGCCGCCAUCUCCAUGGCCACCACUUUGGCCGCAGAGUUCGAGCCGUCGCCGGGCGGCCUCCGCACAACCACCUACAACCACCUCGCUGUCGCGGGGCUCGCAGGGACCUUCCUUGGCGGGGUGGCCCUGGUCGGUGCUUCAGUCUGGGUGUCCGACAACCCAGCUGCCCGCCGUGCAGCCGGAAAGAAGUUGCUCUACUUCGCCGCCCCGCCGCUCCUCGCCGCGGUCGUUCUAUCGGUGGCGGCGCUGCUCUGGUAAGUGCCGCAAAGGCUCAUGUACUACAAGCCCCCCCUGUCCGGCCGCAUCACUAUCUUGUUGGAGCUGUAUUGUCAUCGUGUAAUAGUGCGUGUUUCUUCUAGUUCUAGUCCAUUGUGUGUAUCACCAAUGUAUGAUCACGUCUCCUUCUGUUCUUGGUCUGUCAAAGUGUUGUUCGUAUGAUGGCCGGCUUAAUCGACGAGUGUUUUGUUAAUUAUGAGUUCAUAUCUCGCAAUUUCAAGCAAAUGGGGAGCUAUUUAGUACUAGUUUUCAGCUUAAUUACAUUUAGGGAAGAGUGGAUUCGGAGUACUCCAUGCAUAUCGGCGCCGCCGCCGGCGACAGCAUGGCGGGCGUUUCUCAUCAAUUGCGCCACCGCUGCCGCCCCCAUAGCAGUACUACUACUGUCUCGGUGGCGCUGGGGGACUGCGUUGCCCUGGAGGCGGCAGAGUGGUGGCGUCUCUCCACGCCGCUCGCCGUCGCCGCCGACGCCGACGCUGAAUAGUUCUGGAAGUUUGCCUUGUCGGCCGUCGUGUCCUUCUGCCGCUAAAAGCCCAUCUUUUUCUCCUUUUUCUUUUCUUUUCUUUUUUUUUUUGGGGCAACUGUUAGAAGAGAGGGAAGGGUGGGCCAUAUUUAAGUGGGGCCCACAUGCCGUAUCAUAUCCAUGACCUUUGUCCUUGCGUUGCCGCCGGCGGCGGCGGCUACGGCCAUGGAGAUCUCACGCGACCAUUUGCCGGUGAGGUCGGCUGCUCCGCCUCCGCCUCGGCAUCUACGCCUGAUUGGAUCCCCACCCCUAUCUCCACUGACUGUGCUAUCGCGUUUCCGGCGGUGGUUGAUCGAGGCGGUAGCCCGUGCGGCGCGCGAGAUUCCGCCCGUCCACGGAUUUCCGGUCGCCAUCGCGGGGAUUCGUCUUCUCCGGCCAACCCCUCGCUGCGCGAUCCUGCGCCGCCCGUCCUCGGGCAGGAUCUGGUCGGGGUCGCUUGUGGUAGGUGUUGGGGGGGCACUUGGGUUUGGAGGACAGCAUCGUUGAUGUGCUUUGACUUUGAGUUCCUUGCUAAUUUAGUUAUGCUGACUGUUCCCAUAAUCCCUAAAAUCCCAGCAGUUGCGUUGUGUGGUAGGUUAUGUAAAGCGCAUUCCUGUGAUGAAAAAUAGACCCUGGGAGACAUAUAAUCACUUGUAUCAAGCGAUCCACACACUAGGCCCCCAAAUAUUGUCGUAGAUACCAUUUUCUCUUCAGUAUGCUGCUUAAAAUGCAAAUUGUAAGCUUUUCGCUGUGCUGUCCAGCUACAUCUAGUUCCUUAUGUUUAAAGACUGAUAUUGGUCUUUGCCUCUUUGGUUGUGUGUGAUGUGCUUCUUUUUAAUCGCAACACUUGAUCUUUACUAUCGGUGCAUAUUUAGUUCCAGUAUGUCCUUUUAGUUAAGUUGCUGAAGCAUUGAGCAUCUUGUCAUGUUGAUCUUCUUAUGAGUGGUUCAAGAUGGUUUGUUCUGUUUUAAUGGAAGUAAAAAAUGGGGCCUGUCCCCUCCUAAUGGGAAGAGAAAAGGAGAUGUAUUUCAGCAACCAUGUGUUAUAGUAUAAUCCAAAUAGUUCGCUAAGCUACGUUAUAUCCUGUUCUGAGUAUUUAUUUGAUUUGCUGCAAAGUUAUUAAAUUUAUGGCAUUGUUAUACAUGAUUUGUACUUGAUUAUAUGUUGCUAUUGGUGAUUCAUGUAAUUAGAGCUGAAUGGGAUUUUUGCUACAUACACAUUGCUUCUUUCAACAACCCUUAUGCAAACAAAAUUAAAGGACUGGUUUCUCUGCUGUGCUGAUUUCCAUUGUUCCCUAGCUGAAGCUUAAGUAAUUGCAAAAUUUGUAGGAACUCAUCUGUUCUUUUGCUCUUACAAUAAAUGUGAGGUUUGUAUUCGAGCUACACUCAUGCUAUGUGCAUGCGCUCUGUCUAUCUGAACCAAUAGACUUUUGUAAAUACAUUUGCACAAGGCAUUGAGGUCAACUAAAAUUCUACUAUGCCCAAUGGUGCAGCCAUAUUUCAUACAUGAAUAUGGCUAUCGCUUUGUCUGAUAGGUUAUGGACUGUGAACUCUAUGUGUUUAUUUUGAUGUGGAAUGGCCUCAGGGCAACGCAGGAUAACUCAUACAUGCAAUCCAUACACUAGGUCCUGAAAUAUUUUCUUAAUGCCCUUUUCUCUUUUCACUAUACUCUACUUGUUAAACUUCUAAGAAAAGGCUUAUCCCUCUACCGUUCUAUUACAUCUAUAAUUCAUUUGUUUUGAUGUCAAAAGCAGUGUAUUGAGCUGUAUAUCUUGUUGGAGCAAUUUUACAUUCCUUGAGGAGGUACCAUGGGGUACCAAAAAAUUUAAUGUAAAAUUUGGUACCUGAUAGUACCUAGGUAUCAAGAGAUACUAAAUUUACAAUAGAAAAAAUAGUACCUCAUGGUACCUCCUCAAGGACUGUAAAAUUACUCAUUUUGUUGUGAUAUACUCUAGCUCAUUGUAGUUAGUGUUUUGACUUAUUGCUAAACCCUUGGGAGCAUCUCAUAAUGUUUAACUCUGAUGAAUUGUUUGAGAUGACUUUUUUUUUUGUCUAGAUGAAUAGUGGCAUCGCAACCCCAGGCAAGAGCACUAGGGCCUAGAGGUAUUCCUAGAAACUUAGGAGCAAAUGGACAAAGAUGUAGCAGGACCAGAGCAGAGGACAUUUGGCAGCUUUGAAAUACCAUAAUGCAUCUCGUAAAAAAUAUUCAACUUUUAAAAUUUGUACUAUGUAAUAGACUAAUAGGUGGUUAAAUUCUGUUCUUCUGAGUGAUAGAAUUGCAGAUUGUAAAUCAAUAUCUACUUGUACAAAAGAUGAGUAAAUCUUUUGCUCAUUCUUAUCUACUCCUUUUUUAUUUGUCAAAAUGAAUAGGAAUAGCAGGGUGCCUUUAAAGUAUAAUCGAAAGAGUUGGUAAAUUUUAAUAUACUUCUGAAAGAAUCAUCAUCCUUUUGUCAUUAUCUUUUUCAUGUAUUGAACAACAGAUUUGCACAUAUGUAUUUUUACCAUCAGUAACAGCUCUUUAUUAACGGAUAGUAUAUUGUUCUGCUUUUAUGUAGGGGGAUGUUGAGUUGUAAGAAGACCAGAUGCAUCUGCUCUGAUUUUAGUGGCAUGUAUAACUAUAACCUGUCAAAGAGCAGCAAAAGAAAUGCCUCGUAGCUGUGUGAUACAUAACUUUGCCAGGAUAUCUCUCUGUUUAUGCACACAGACUGCUAUGGCAUUUUUAACCGUUUGCUCAGUUGCUCUUACGUGCAUUUCUGCUGGCAUAAGAUGGUGGCAUGGUGGAGGUUCUGUUGUUAAACCCUGGUAUCAGGACUUGAUCGAGCAAUUUGGUAUGUUCGGUGAAAAUUCAUGCUCAUUUGAGUGAUUGUACAGUACUCCGAAGUUGGUGUUUUCUAUGCUCCGGUAAUUGUGGAUCACUGGUAUAAUGAGGAAAUCAACCUAACGUAUAAUUGCCAUGGUCUGUAUUUGUGUGUAUGUGGAGACUGGUGUGUGUACUAAUUUUCUGGAAUGUCAUUUAAUCAGAAGAGUUGUUUAGAAGAGGCAUAGGCAAAUUCUCUUGUAAGGCUUAUGUAGUUCGAGUGUUUAACAUGGUUAUAACAGUAGUGUUUUCUAUGACGACAUUUAUGAUUAAACUGUGUCUACAAUUCCUGCCUUUUGUGCAGAAAAAGAAAAGCACUGAUAAAACAUCCUAGAGUUGAGUGCAUUGCGCUGCUGCGACUGAUUCUAAAAGCUUGACAGCAAGAGUUAGAAUAGAGCAAUAUUCUGCAUAAUUUUCCUGCAUCUGUGAAUUUUGCUACUCUUGUACUCCCUCCGUCCCAAAAUAUAACAAUUUUUACUUAGAUGGGAUGUAUCAUAUUACUACGAAUCUAGAUAUGAGACAUGUCCAAAUUCAUAGUAGUAGGAUAUGUCCCAUCUUAAAAAAAUAUAUAUUAUAUUUUGGGAGGGAGAGAGUAAAACAUGUGCUCGGGUGUGCAAACCUGACAGCCAUUAUGGCUCUGAUAACUCAUGCUCCCUCCGUCUCACGAUAUAAGGGAUUUUCAGUUUUUGCUUGUAACGUUUGACCACUCGUCUUAUUCAAAUUUUUUUUGCAAAUAUAAAAAAUAAAAAGUUGUGCUUAAAGUACUAUAGAUAAUAAAGUAAGUCACAAAUAAAAUAAUUAAUAAUUUCAAAAAAAUUUGAAUAAGAUGAGUGGUCAAACGUUACAAGCAAAAACUCAAAAUCUCUUAUAUUAUGGGACGGAGGGGGUAGUUGCUAUGCCUAUAUUUUGUCGGGUGAGCUGGUGGUGGUACGUUUGGUUUAGGGUUUAGAGCUGACUCUGGUGGAGACCCUUUCGGGACGUUGCAUCAGCUACAGCCUACAGGGUUGCGCGUUUGUUGGGCCGAAUAUUGAAGUGCGUGGGCCGUGGGCCGUGGCCAGGACGGCGGAUGGAUCAUCCUCGUGACGUAUCUCUUCCCCUCGACCAACAAUUAACGAGUUGCGGGUGGCGGCGUUGAAGCAGCUGGACUUUUUUUUUUUUUUUGCUAUAUAUAGGGCAUGUUUGGCACAAGCUUCAGCUCCACCUCUCUUAGAGCUGGAGCUCAGCCAAACAGUUUUAGCUCCACCUAAAAUGGGAGCAGAGCUGGGUGGAGCUCUCACAAAAUAAACUAGAGUUGUGGAGCUGGGUUUAGACAGCUCCACAACUCCACUCCAGACCCAACUCCUAGAGCUAAAUUUAGGAGUUGGAGCUCUAUCAAACAGGCCCAUAAAGUCAAUUUUGCUAUAUCUCACUCGAAAGAUUUCUUUUAUCUCUCACUCAAAUUUACAGUGUAUUUUCUUGUAAUUUAUGAAAUUUACAUGGUAACUUUUGUUUUGAAAUUUAUAUUGGAUUUGGUCUUUUUCUCGAAGAUAUGGUAAUUUAGUAUCCAUUAUGAUGUUUCUUAGUUGCUUUUUGCUUUUUACUAUGUCUAUUGGAUUUUAAUCUAAAAAUUUAAAAUAUGUGUGAAAAGAUUUAUAGCUACUCCCAUAUAAAGUUCUAUUUUUCUAACUUGCUGAUCUUGAGAUUUUUUUUCAUCGAAAUUUAUUUUUCAACAUUUGCUUUUAGAUCGCUAAGAACACAUAUAAAAGUUUUAUUUACAAAUUAUUUUUUGCUUGCAAAUAUGUCGGGCCCUUUUUUUGUUUUUGUUUUUAUCUUUAUAAUAUUCGUUGCAGUUUGCAAAACACGGGAAUUUAGAUAGUUAUGUAAAAGAUGUCAAAGAGACAUGAUGCGGUCUGACAGUCCAACGUAAGGAAGCUUCGUAGCGCAACUAUGGGGAUGUUCAUAAAUCUAGGUGAAAAGUUUUACCGUGUCACAUCGGAUAUAUGAGCACAUAUUUAAAUUAUUAAACAUAGUCUAAUAAUAAAACAACCUAUAGAUUCCGUCCGUAAACUGCGAGACGAAUUUAUUAAGCCUAAUUAAUCCAUCAAUAGUAAAUGUUUACUGUAGCACUACAUUAUCAAAUCAUGGAGCAAUUAAGCUUAAAAGAUUUGUCUCGUAAACUAGUCGCAAUUUGUGCCAUUAGUUAUUUUUUAGCCUAUAUUUAAUAUUUUAUGCAGGUAUUUAAACGUUCGAUGUGACAGGGCGAAAAAUUAUAAGGCGGGAUCUAAACAUGGCCUAUAUCAGUUGGCAUCGCACGUUUACAUCCUCGAGCAGUAGCACUGCAUGUCUGCAUGGCAGCUGGAGCAUCACUCGCCGGCAUCUACGUGCGCUUGAGCGAAUGCGUCCGGCAAUAUUAUGGAGUAAAAGAUUGCUUAUGUUGCCCCUCUUUGAUCAAAAAAUAGUUGGGUGUUUGGCUUAGGUAAAGUUGGUUUUAAAUUUUAGAAAUAAUUUUAAGGACCUUUCGGAAAACACAAGUACACAGAACAACCAGAACACAAGUAGAAAAGGCCACAUGAACCAGCUUUUAUAGAAAAAAACCAAAACAGGGUCACAACCACUUGAACGUUCACUGGAGAGGAGAGAUUCCCCAUCUAAAUUUCCAUUAAGGUCCUGUUUAGUUUUAAAGUUUUUUUUUUCCAAACUUUCAAUUUUUCAUCGCAUCAAACCUUUCAUACACCACUGGUGGACAAACCAUCUUUGGUCGGUCGACCAAAUCCCACAAUAGCCCUGGUUCCAUUAAAACCGGGACUAAAAACGAUUUUUAGUCCCGGUUAAAAAAAUUUUGAUCUUUAGUCCCGGUUGGUAACACCAACCGGAAUUAAAGAUGAUUUUUAGUCCCGGUUCAUCCCCUGUCAGAUGUAUGUUAGGGGGUCGAGGAUCUUUAGUCCCGGUUUAUACUACCAACCGGGACUAAAGAUUACCACUUUAGUCCCGGUUGGUAAAGAUCGAUUGAUCUUUACUCCCGGUUGGUGAUACCAACCGGGACUAAAGAUCGAUCUUUACUCCCGGUUGUAGUUAUCAACCGGGAGUAAAUAUUUCUCUCCCACAUCUGAUCGGUUAAGUCCAAACAGAUAGUUAGAUAAGAUUGGAAAUCCCCUCUAUUCCUCUUCUCAGAUCCAAUCCUCUUCCUCCUCCUCUCCCCUCUCUUCCUUCCCUCCUCCCCUUCCUCUUCUCUUCCUCCCCUCUCCUUCCUCCCAUCAGCCGGCCCUUCCUCCUCCCCUCUACUCCCUCUUCCAUCAGCCGGCCGACGGCGGGCGGUGGCGGCGGGCAGGAGGCGGGUGGCGGCGGCGCGGCCGCACGCGUGAAGGCGGGCGGCGGGCGGUGGGCGCGCGCGUGGAGGCUGGCGGCCGGCGGGCGGCGGCGGUGGGCAGGCGGCCGGCGGCGGCGGCUGCUGCGCGCGGGCAGUCGGCUGCUCGUUUGCUUUUUUUUUUUUGUAAUUUGUGUUUCAUUGGAUCUAUAAUUUUUUAGAUGUUGUGAUUCAUUGCAUCACAUGGAUCUGAGAUGUAUAAUUUGUAUAAUCUGUGAUGUAUUUAAUUUGUGUGUAGUUUUUUAGGAUUUGUGAUGUAUUUGAUCUGUGUGUAGGAUUUGUGAUGUAUUUGAUCUUAAUAUUUAGGAUGUUGAUUUGGAGAUAUGCAUCCCAUUUGAUUCGGGAGAAAAUACAGGGAUUAACACUAGCCAUUAGCAAAUCAACAAUAAAAUAAAAUAAAAAAGAUCUCGAGGUCUUUAGUCACCAACCGGGACUAAAGAUUCCCCCUCUUUACUCCCGGUUGGUGUUACCAACCAGGACUAAAGAUCGAUCUUUAGUCCCGGAUUCGUAGUCCCGGUUAGAAAACCGGGACUACAAAGGGUUCUAAACCGGGAGUAAAAAGCAUUUUUCCACCAGUGCACACACAAUUUUUCUAUCACAUCGUACCAAUUUCAACCAAACUUCCAAACUUCAGUGUGAACUAAACACAGUCUAAAUAAAGAACAAGAGAUUACACAGCAGUAAUUCUAAAAAAAAAUUACACAGCAGGAAGUUUUCUAGCGGAGUUUAGCGAAUCUGCCAUUACAUAAAAUCAAAUACAAGAAGAUAAAUAUAAAGAGGUGACGUGUGAUUAAUUGAGUUUUACUCCCUCCAUUCCAAAAUAUAAGACACAACCACUCUAAACUCAAAGACCAAAAAACCAUUAUUAUCACCUCUUUGUUUGAAUAAUCUUAACUAAUACAAUGCAUGCACCCAAUAGAAUUAAGCAUCUUGAUUUAAAAACAAUAAUUUAGAAGAGAGAAUAUGCUAUUAAUUGUCAUGCAUACAUGCACGCCUUAUAUUAUGAAACACCUUUAAAAAGUAGUUGCGCCCUAUAUUUUAGAACAGAGGGAGUAAUAUUUUAGAAUAACUUUCAUAUAAAAAGUUUUCGCACAAAAUACAUCGUUUAGCAAUUUGAAAAGCGUGCCAUGAAAAUCUUAAUCUUCGGCCAAGUUUAGUUCUAAAUUUUUUCUUCAAACUUUCAACUUUUUCAUCACAAACUUCCCUACACACAUAAAUUUUCAACUUUUUCAUCACAUCGUUUCAAUUUCAACCAAACUUUCAAUUUUGGCGUGAACUAAACACAACCUUCAUCUAACUCUUGUUGAAGGAAAGAACUGAAGCUUAGUACUAAACUUGUCUUGGGAAUGUAGGAAUCGAUUUUUUUAAGGGACGGAGGGAGUACGUUCACACAUUACAUUAUUGCAGCUCUGCCUCCACUGUACUCCUCCAUUGCACACCUGCCAGAAAUGCAUGUCUAGCACGCAGUCACGCACACAUGUAGUAGUACAACCAGACAUUCCAUGCAAAGUAUAAUCCCCAAACUGCCUUCGUUCGAGAUUCCAGCGACCAGCGGUACAGAGCGCGGAACUGGCGUUGACCAUAUUCCGAUCCAUUUCGAAUGCCUAAAGAUCUGACCACAGGGUGACAGGGGGGACAGAGAUCAGUUGGCCAGGAAACCACGGUGUUAACUUCUCCUGACGUGGAGUUCUCGGGCCUUGUGCGAUCUCAUGUGUUCAUCUCCGUUUUUGAGCAAGUUUAAUAGUAUAGCCAACUAGAAUCUCUAAUUUAUCUAUAGUCAAUUUAAUAGUUCAUUCAUACAAUAGUUACAUACUACACUAUUAAUACUUGAUCCCACCUAUCAUAUACAUACUGUGUUUUGAAGUCCGUGCUACAGCUGGCUACAAAUCUGUAGCCAACUGCUCUUCUCUCUCCUUAUUUACUACCUCCGUCCCAAAAUAAGUGCAGCCGUGGAUAUCCGUACCCAACGUUUGACCGUUCGUCUUAUUUGAAAAAUUUGUGAAAAAAUUAAAAAUAUUUAGUCACACAUAAAGUACUAUUCAUAUUUUAUCAUUUAAUAUCAAUAAAAAUACUAAUCAUAGAAAAUUUCAAAUAAGACGAACGGUCAAACGUUGAACGUGAAUAGUGCAAAACUGCACUUAUUUUGGGACGGAGGGAGUAUCUUCUUAGAAUAUGUUUAUAGCCGGCUUAUAGCCUGCUAUUGUACCUACUCUAACUAGCAAGUUUAUAGUGUAGCUAACUACUGACUUUGAAUAAUUUAUAGUCAAUUUAAUAGCCAAUUCAUAAAAUAGUUACAUAUAAGUAUAUACUACGUAAUUAAUAUUUGGUCACACCUAUCAUAUCAUACACAUGCAUUUAGGAGUUUGUUCUGCAGUUGGCUACAAUGUAGCCAGCUGCUCUUCUCACCAGCCAUCUUCAACCCUCCAUGUCAUCAAGUAUCCAUAACAUUUAAUACAUUGACAUAUAAGAAAAAUAUGUGAUGCACUACAAGAAAAAUACUCUGUAUAGACAUUUUUCUAGUACUGUAGAGGCACUUAUCAAAUGCCUUUACAACAAUGUAGAGGCAUUUUAAAAAAUGUCUAAUAAGUGUCUUAUGGUGAAUUGUCUCUACAAACGAAGAGACAUUUUAUAAAAUGUCUAUAAGAUGGUAGAGGCAUUUUUUAGAGACACUAAAUUGUACCGCAAACAUAUAAAACCAGUCCAAAAAAGAGAAUAAAAUAGUUUCCUUGCUUUUGAUAAGUCUUGAACUCAUGAUCUUUUGGUUAAAUCAUUUUAAUCUUCGAUACACUAACCAACUCAACUCCAUGUCAUUACUUGUAUACUUGUUCCUUUAAUUACUUAUAUUUAGUCGUUUAGUACACAUUAUCAUUCUAAAAAGUGUCUCUACAUAGUUUAAAAUGUCUCAACAAAAUGCCUUUACAUAUUAGACGCAUUUUAUAGUGCCGAAAGAAUGCCUCUACAAGAUAAAAUCUAACAAACUGAUAUAAAAAUGUCUCUAGAGUAAAAGUUUUCUAGGCAAUUUUUAAAGUGUCUCUAUAAAGUGUCUCUACACUAUAAAACUUCUGAUUGUAGAAGCAAUUUACAAAAUGCCUCUACAAAAGUGCCUCUAUACGAGGUUUUUGUUGUAGUGAUGAGAGUUAAUAAGAAGAGAGGUAAAAAGAUGAAGAUACCAUUUCUCGUAAAGAAACAUCUUUACACGAGAACCAAGAAUAAAAACAAGGGGAUUAGAUGUGAAUUUAAUUUGAAGACAUCAUCCAUUGGAUAUAUAGACUCUAUAUAUAGUGUCUAUAUGACAUGGUAAGUAUGGAAUAUAGUUUCUGCUAUUGUGUCUUCUCUAACUACUUUACCGAAUUAUUAUUGCUGGUCGCCAACGCGCGGAUCAUUAUUAUUGAUAUUGUAUACUACUCCAUAUUUUAAAGUUUAAUAUAUGUUGAAUACAUAGGCUAUUUUCUAUACUAUAGCGAUUUAGAUUACUAACUGUUUUCAGUUUUUUUUUAAAAAAAAAUCGUAAUUAAAAUAAUAAACAUCAUAUUUAUUUAAUAUUGAAUUUUGCAGUUGCUACAUUUAUUAAAAAACUAUAUGUAAUUAAUACCUAACACAUUAUUACGAUCUACAGUUGUGAUAUUAUGAUUUAUUAGAUCAAUGACUAGAUUUUUCUGAUUAAUGUGAGAGCUCAUAGAAAAUGUUAGGUUAGUAUAGGUAUAGAUAUAGAUAGAUAGAUAGAUAGAUAGAUAGAUAGAGGGUUAAAAGCUAUUUUUCUUUGUGGUGGAGUUACGGACUGCAAAUCCAUGUCUUAGCUAAAUACAAAAGACGCCCAUUUUUUUUUAAAACAACGGCAGAGCUUGCCAUUUCACUGAAUAAAGAAGGGAGCAAUAUUUACAUGUAAGGAGAAAAGUAAUAUUUACAAAGGCGACCGGGCACUAAGGCAACAUCUCUGCUGAGCGUUUGGCUUCCCGCCGUAGCCCAAGCUUUUGCCUCAUCCUUUAUCUUUGCGAUGAGGUCGCAGUGCUUAACUCUUUGUUUCGGAAGAUUUGUCGGUUUCACUCGUUCCAAAUUUCCCAGGAGAUUAGGAGGAUUAAGGAUAUAAUUCCAAGUUUUGGUACAGUGUGGCAUGUGGCAAGAAAUUCCCACCAUUCAUGAACCGUGGUCGAUUGUGUCCAGCUUACCGGCGCCAUGGAUGCACAGGUUAUCCAACUGGCAAUGGCAUCCCAUAUUUUCUUGGUGUAUCUGCAUUGCAUUCCACCAACAGGUGUAUAGUAAUCUCGUCGGUGUGCCGACAUAGCGAGCAAACUCCAUUCUUCUGUCAGCCCCGGGUCGCUAGUCGGUCCGCCAUCCAAACCCUAUUUUGAAUGAUUAACCACGCAAAUGUCCAUAUCUUUGAUUUUGUGACGAACCCGUGCACCAUCCAACCGUGUCGGUGAGAAAGGUCGAAUGGAGCCCGUACUGACGACCCUGAUAGGUGAACAGUUGCACGGGGUUGCACCCGCGCGGUCAGUUCCAAACCCUCUAGUUCACCUUCUCCUCUAUAAGAGUAUAUACACAUGUAUAUAUAGUAUAAGAGCGCACGCGCCUAUAUAUAUAAUUUUUUUAGGGUGAAUAGCUAAUUUAGUCCCUCAAGUUUCAGUGAAGGCUUAAUUUGAUCCUUCACGUUUCAUUUUGUCUAUAUAGAUCCUUCAAAUAUUUGUUUUAGCUUGAAAUCAUUCUUGGGUCCACUUAAUAUGCCAUAUGGCUAUUUCUAGUCAAUAUUUCUAUUAGAAAAUGUCCUUUUUGCCCAUAAUUUAUAUACAUCUAUACACUAGAAAAUAGAAAGCCAACAUGAAUAAACAACAUUACAGAUCUACUUCCCAUUAUUUCAACAUGUGCACAUGAAACUUAAGCAAUUGCUAUCGUAUACACUUGCUAGUACAUAAUUUUUUUCGUUUUACAUAAUAUACUAUGUAUUAUCUAUAAAAAAUUCAAGCAUGCAAUUUCUCUCUUAUAUAUGUGAAUGAUGAGGGGUAUAAGUGUCAUUUAUGAAGAGAGUUGUUGGUUCAAGGAUAAGUUUGAACUAAAAUGAAAACUUGAAGGACUAAUAUGGAUAGAUUGAAACAUCAAGGACUAAACUGAGCCUCAGAUAAAACUUGCAGGACCACUUUGGCUAUUCACCCUUUAUUUAUGUAUAAAAAAUAUACAUCUAUACAGAAGUUUAUAUACGACAUAUACAAACUUUGUAUAUGACGUAGACAAAAUUUAUAUACAUGCGCAUUUAAAAAAUUUAAAAAACAUCACGUAUACAAAGUUCGUAUACAUAUAUAAAAAGUUUGUAUACGAGUGUAAACAAACUUUGUAUACACAUAUAUAAACUUUGUAUCUCGUACGUAUAGAAAACAAAAAAAACCCAAAAAAGGAAAAAAUAAAAAAAUACUGAAAAGAAAAAAAACCAAAGAAAACCGAAUAAAACAAAGAAAAAAAGUGAAAAAAAGUCCCACGCGCGGCGCGGCGUCCGCCGCCCUCCUCUCCGCGCGCGCCACCUGUCCAUCCGCGCGGAGGGAGGCGCGCGCGGACAUCCGCGAAUUAGCAAUCUCUUAACCUGGCAGCCAUAUCGCCCGCCGGUCAAACCCGCCCUCUUUGUUCGUCGACGGCUCGACCUCUUGUUGCUUGUGUCACCUCCUUUUGUCUUCUACCCGAGAUUUUCCAUAGAGAAAACGGCCCUCACCCACGGCCACAGCCACGGGCCGUAGGUGUCAGUCGUGUCACACACAAAAAAAAAAAAAGUUCCACCCACCCGUUGUCUUCGCAUUUCAACCCUUAAUAUCCGUUUGCCUAUAAAUACUCUCUCUGUAGGUACAUCUCUCUACCAUCUCUGUCGUCCAACCUCUUAGUUUCCUGCUUGGUUUUGAUCGAUUCAAGCUAGUAAACGCUGAUCAUGGUGAACGUUGCUCGCUUGGAUCAGGCUGACGGCGCUGCGUCCAAGAUCGCCACGGCGCGGGCGCUGGGGGCGUUCGGCCUCGCCACAGCCUCUCUGGCCAUCAAUCUGGCCGCGACACGCGGGGCACCGUCGUGCUUCGGUGACAGCGCCUGGUACUACCACCUCGCUCUCGUGGGUUCCUUCCUCUCCGGAGUGGCCCAGGUGGCCGCCGCCGUCUGGGUCGCCGACGACCCUCGCGGCCGCCAUGCCGUCGGCAAGAAAAUCAUGUACCCCUCUAUUGCACCCCUCCUCGUGGCCGUCGGCCUCACCGGAGCGGCUCUGCUCUGGUAAUAUUUCCAGUUUUCCACCUUGGUUCAUCUACACGUACCAACACCGACAUCGCCGCCUACCGCGCCAGCUUCUCCCCGCAGGAUCGGCGCGAAUGUAUCUGUUAACAACCCUCUCCUUCCAAACUCGGUAAUCUCAAGAACAAUCCAAUUCAAUACAAUCUCAGGAAAAUAGAAGAGGAAUUGAAGGAGAAGAAGUAGAGGAUGCUUCUAGAAGUGGCAGUGAGGAGGACCAUGGAGAGAGAGAAGGAUAGAGAUCGACGAGGUUCAACCGAACCAAGCCGCCGCCGCCGCCGUGGCCGAAGCCGCCGAUUCCUGAUCUGUUCGAUUCCCCUGGUAAGAGUUGUCCUGUUGUUUUGUAGCUUCACCUUGGACUGGCCUGGGCCAACAUUAGGAGAGUUGAUGGACUGGCCCAUUUGGCAGCCCAGCCAGGACCUUAACAGUAUCUUACCUGUUUGAUUUGUGUGAUGUUGCUUUCUUGAUGUUUGCUGUUUGGGUCAUCGAUCGUGCUUUUGUGUAUCACCUCGAGUAUCUAGUAUCUACCAUCAAUCAAUCACGCUGUUUCCCUCCACUGCCUGCUGUUGUUGUGUUGUUGAUCAAUGCUUGGAUUGAUGAAUAUGUGAUGCAAAUUUUGAGUCACUACGGUAUACUCAAAUCAAACAAAAAAAUCAGCUAAUUUGCAGAAGAGUGUAUUUGGAAUGUUGGAGUACCCCGCGAAUUGUGAAGCCGGUGGCGGCGCGGCGACCGGCGAUUAUGGUGUUUGUGAUCACUAAUUCAACAUCCACUUCAUCGCUGCCGCUGGCGGGGCUCCGGCGACGGUGCGCACCGUACGGCCGGCCCGCCGCCGCCGCCUUGUCCUCCCUUGCCCCUUGCCGCUGUCAUGUGAUGGCCAAAAGGGUUCUUUUUGGUGAUUUUUCUAUCCAGUUUUUUAAUCAAGAUUCUGAUCCAAUUGUUUCGAUUUUGGCUGAAAGGUGGGCCAUAAGUGGACCCCACAUGGCCAUAGGAGAGUACUACUAAUAGUAGGAGAUUACUGGAGAAAGAGAGGAGACAUCACAGGGUCCCCGAGACUGGGAAAUUUAACUAUUUGUAACUCUCACAAUUAACGAUUUGCCACAUCCUAUCUAUCACAUGUAGACUCUUAUGUGUCUAUGAUAUGUGGGUCUAAUAGUAAAUUGUUAAGCUCCACUGGUAAGAGUGGCAAAUAUUUAAAAGCCCCGCGGAGACUUGCGGCUGCGGCGGCCGAGAGGGCCACGGCCAUGGCGACCUCGCCUUCGCCCUCGCCCUCGCCCAAAAAGUCUCUAUCUCGCUGCUCCGGCUUCCUAACUACAUCCUCUUACCUCCUCUCUGCCUCAAUUCGCUAGAUCUUGUGCAGCGGUGAGGAAACGACGGCGCGCCAAAUUUUGCUCGGCCACGAUCCGAUCACUGUCGCCGGAAGCCGUCCUCCGGCCACCCCCUCGCCGUGAACCUGCGCCGGCGGACCUCGGCCAGGAUCUGGUCGGCAUCGCGGCUGUGGUAUUGCAAACAGAUUUGUGGAUGCUAUGAUGGCCGUGCGCCGUUCAGCCGUUGACUUGUAAGAACACGGCAGCCACCUCUUCUGAUUUUAGUGGUUCAUACAGGUUAUCAUCUGCUUGCCCUUACAAUUACAUAUGGUUACAUACUUACAUGCAUUUUGGUGGCUGUGGUCAUGUUGUGAAAGAAAGACAUCAGUCAACAGGUGCUUAAGGGAAUUUCACAGUGUGAGCGAUAACCUAUCAGAAUUUGAUUUGAUAGGGCAGUUUGGUAUGUUGUGUGAAAGCUCUUUAAACAAUUGUGCAGUUGUUUGGUGCAUCAUUUUCUGUCUUCUGGUAAUUGUGAAUCACUGGCAUAUAUAUUGAGGAACCCAACUUUUGUAUAUUUGCCAGUUUCUGUAUUUUUCACAUGUGGAGAGACUGGUGUGUAUGACAGUUUUCCUGGCAUGUCAUGUAAUAAUCGGAAGAUUUGUUAUUAGGAGAGGGAUGCUCAAUCUCCUUUCUAAUAUUAGGCUUUUACCGUUGCUUGUGUGCAACCAUCAGCCCUUUUCAGACUAGUUAUAACCAUACCAUUUUGUAUAUCAAAAUUUAUGACUAAAUUGCACUAAAUAUUCGUGAUUUAGUGCAUUGUGAUGCUGUGACUGAAUCUGAAAAUUUGGCAGCGAGAAUGAAUAUCAAGUAAUGUUGUGCCGAUUUUGCUAUA
Molecule: long non-coding RNA, 27225 nt
Filed under: Oryza sativa (Asian cultivated rice)
Lineage: Eukaryota; Viridiplantae; Streptophyta; Magnoliopsida; Poales; Poaceae
Description: long non-coding RNA (OSAT_LNC001264)
Rfam family: MIR812 microRNA precursor family (bases 20717-20923)
Source: RNAcentral